RNAcentral lists this unclassified non-coding RNA (240 nucleotides) under soil metagenome. RNAcentral's name for it is "partial contains 5.8S ribosomal RNA, internal transcribed spacer 2, and large subunit ribosomal RNA". The record is from RNAcentral.
AACCUUAUGGACCUGCGGGCGUAUACCUGCGGAAGGAUCAUUACAGAGUUGCAAAACUCCCUAAACCAUUGUGAACGUUACCUAAACCGUUGCUUCGGCGGGCGGCGCGCCCUCGCGCGCGCCCCUGGGCCCCACCGCGGGCGCCCGCCGGAGGUCACCAAACUCUUGAUAUUAAUUGGCCUCUCUGAGUCUUCUGUACUGAAUAAGUCAAAACUUUUAACAACGGAUCUCAGAUCGGAA